AAAAUUAGAGUGUUCAAAGCAGGCAGAUCCAAUUUUCUGCCACCGAAUACAUUAGCAUGGGAUAAUGGAAUAGGACCCUGUCCUCCUAUUUUCAGUUGGUUUUGGCAGCGCGAGGACUAGGGUAAUGAUUAAUAGGGAUAGUUGGGGGCAUUAAUAUUUAAUUGUCAGAGGUGAAAUUCUUGGAUUUAUGAAAGAUUAACUUCUGCGAAAGCAUCUGCCAAGGAUGUUUUCAUUAAUCAAGAACGAAAGUUAGGGGAUCGAAGACGAUCAGAUACCGUCGUAGUCUUAACCAUAAACGAUGCCGACCAGCGAUUAGGAGACGUUGAAUACAAAACACCACCAUCGGCGCGGUCGUCCCUGGCUCGUCGUCUCACGACGGCGGGCGGGGGCGGUUAGCCCGAUGGCACCGGUGAA
This 414-nucleotide ribosomal RNA is filed under the name Acanthamoeba sp. RNAcentral's name for it is "SSU rRNA". It matches the Rfam family "Eukaryotic small subunit ribosomal RNA", at positions 762 to 1096 of the family's 1831-position model. Lineage: Eukaryota; Discosea; Longamoebia; Acanthamoebidae. The record is from RNAcentral.